UUUUUUUCAUUUUGUGAGAUGGAUGGAUGUGUUGUGUUGUAUUUGGGGUUCUUGUGCCAGAAAAAGUAAAAGAGAUGGGGAGUUAAAAUAUCUAGUUAAUUUACAAAGAGAAUGCUAGGGAAGUUCAUUUUGGGGUGGGUUUUGGGUUGGUUUUUUUCCCCUUGUAGCAUUUCACAUCUAUUUAUUUGAGAAGACUUCAUCCAGUGUUGCCCUAGAGAAUUGUCUUGGCAGAGAAAGUACAGCCUCCAUCUGGAGACUUGCUUGGUACAUAUAAACUACUUUGGUUGAUAUUAAACACAGGUCCCUCACUAGACUGGGAGACCCUUUUCUGUUUCACUUAUCUUCUCUUUCCCUCAGUUGGAGCUACUUAAUCCUGUGUCUGCUAACUAGGUUUUUUCCCUGUUUGCCUUUUGCUUUUAUUUUAUGCUAGCACGGUAGUUGCCAUACGUAAUCUCCUAACUUUAGUCUUUAUUUCUCUCCAUCUAGCAUAUUGUCUUCUCUGCUUACAAUUUCAUUUUUCAUAUCAAAGAGCAAGGACUGACUGGACUGCUCUGUCAUCUUCGUUCUCUAUGAAGUAUCAAACCCAACCGUACAGAGCCUUGAAAAUAAAAAAAGAAGUCUCAGCCUCUUAGAGCCAUCAUGAAGUGCGUCAUGUGGAAGUUGGGCAACUUGCCCGCAGCUUAUUGCCUUUACUCAGAUUUGAAGUUGUCACUUGGACACUCUUUCCUCUACCAAAAUGUCAAAGGCAUUUUCCUCAGGGGACAGUGCACACGUCAUCAUGCAAAGCAAAGAAACAGUUCAUCCUAAACAAAGAACUCUGCCUGACAUCACCUGGGCCUCCACACACAGUCUGGCUAAAAGGACGCUUUCUGACUUCCAAGAAAAACAAAUGGAAACGCAAAAAGCUUGCAUCUGGCCUGUUACCUCAUCCUCAGCCACCUGGGCUGCUUGAGAGUCGCCAUGGCAUUCCCAGUUCCUUUUUGCUUGCUACAUAAUAAAUUAAAAAGACUGUUGAGAAAAAAGACAUUCACAGAAAGCAGACAACACUUAGAGCUCAAAGACUUAGAAGGACUGAUCUGCAUUAUUUCUACAUGAACUGAAGUUUAUCAAAAUGUCUAAGUGUGGUUUGGUGAAAAUAAUCUGCUAUCGUAAUCUUCUGCUGAAUGGAGAGACGGGCUGUCGUUCCUCAAAGACAAGAAU
Molecule: long non-coding RNA, 1200 nt
Organism: Harpia harpyja (harpy eagle)
Lineage: Eukaryota; Metazoa; Chordata; Aves; Accipitriformes; Accipitridae
Exons: 4
Source: RefSeq, a predicted model, not a curated record